Molecule: unclassified non-coding RNA, 724 nt
Filed under: Hevea brasiliensis (rubber tree)
Lineage: Eukaryota; Viridiplantae; Streptophyta; Magnoliopsida; Malpighiales; Euphorbiaceae
Source: RNAcentral
CUGUUCUGGUAAUUCAUGUAAGUAUUGUUCCCCUUGUGUUCAUUUGUCACCUUGUUCGGGCAGUUCAGGACAUAAUUUUAUCCAUUGAUUAAGUUGGCUGCUUGAAUGAAUGAUGUCUUUUGCAUUAUCUAUAGGCAUUCUUGUUUUAGAUUAUGAUUUUAUAGAUUCAAGGAUUGGCAAAUUUUUAAUAUUUGUAGUAUAGUCUUUAGGAGAUAUUGAUACACAAACGUUUUAAACUAUUGAAAAUGUGAAGAAUUUCUGGCUGGAGUCGCAACUUGAAACAAAUAUUGUGCUAUUCUAGCUAGGAUUCUAGGUGGACCUAUAUCUUGUGGUGAUACAAAUCAAUCUAGAUCUGCUUUGUUAUUCUGGGUAUAAUGAAAUGAUAAGUAAGUCUUCAAUGCGGGCAUUAUUGCAUGCAAUGAUACAAAUCUAAAAAGAUGUUUUAAUGGUAAAUUAACCAGGAUGCAUCUUUGGCAUGAAUAUAAAGUCACAACCCAAACUUUGUUAUUGUUGUUAUUGUUCACUUUACAUUUUUGGCAUUUUUAUAUUUUCUGAAAAUAUUCAUCUGAUCCAUUCCGCACAGAUUCCACCCUCAAAUGCUAAUUAUUUUGACAGUAUUGUUGAAGGGAACUAGGAUAAAAUCUCUAUGGCAUUAGUUGGUUAUAUUAGAGGUGAAAUUGUUAUUAUAUAUUUUCUUCUUUUCCAGGGAACAGCAGAUGAAGUU